CGUAAACUUUAAAUUACAUCCAUAUCGCCAGGGAACUACGAGCAAAGCUUAAAACCCAAAGGACUUGACGGUACCCCACAUCCACCUAGAGGAGCCUGUCCUAUAAUCGAUAACCCCCGUUUAACCUCACCAUUUUUAGCCUAUCAGCCUGUAUACCUCCGUCGUCAGCUUACCACGUGAGCGCUACUUAGUGAGCUCAAUGUCUCCACAUCAAUACGUCAGGUCAAGGUGCAGUAAAUAAAAUGGGAAGAGAUGGGCUACACUCUCUAAUUUAGAUAAUACGAAUGACUAUUUAUGAAACCUAGUCGGAAGGCGGAUUUAGUAGUAAAAAGAGACAAGAGAGCUCUUUUUAACUUGGCACUGGGGUGUGUACACACCGCCCGUCACCCUCUUCGAAGCCAUUAAACAGUAGUUAACCACACUCAGCACCCCAGAAGAGGCAA
This 443-nucleotide ribosomal RNA is filed under the name Smilisca fodiens (lowland burrowing treefrog). RNAcentral's name for it is "partial 12S ribosomal RNA". It matches the Rfam family "Bacterial small subunit ribosomal RNA", at positions 801 to 1484 of the family's 1533-position model. The record is from RNAcentral. Lineage: Eukaryota; Metazoa; Chordata; Amphibia; Anura; Hylidae.